RNAcentral lists this long non-coding RNA (319 nucleotides) under Phoenix dactylifera (date palm). RNAcentral describes it as "long non-coding RNA (PDAC_LNC011115)". The record is from RNAcentral. Lineage: Eukaryota; Viridiplantae; Streptophyta; Magnoliopsida; Arecales; Arecaceae.
CUCUUCCAUAUUGUAAAAUCCCGGAUCGAGCUAAUUCUUCGGAUCUGUAAAAACAGUAAGAAAUCGUAUAAUGAGCUAGACAGCCCAGUAAGUAAUAAACACCUUAACUAGUCAAUUCAUAUAAUAAUAUAAAAUAUAAAUACAAAUUACGAUGAAUCAACAUAAUAACAUAAUCAAUUCCUUUUCAAGCACAAAUUCAUUGAAAUCCGUAUCUUUCAAAUAUCCACAUACAUAAUCAUAAAUCUAAUUUGAAACAAAUCACAUUCAUCUCAUCAGCCUUUAACUACGACCACACUUAUACCCUGUGGCUAGGCCAGAA